This 607-nucleotide ribosomal RNA is filed under the name Enterocytozoon bieneusi. RNAcentral's name for it is "SSU rRNA". It matches the Rfam family "Microsporidia small subunit ribosomal RNA", at positions 295 to 908 of the family's 1311-position model. The record is from RNAcentral. Lineage: Eukaryota; Fungi; Microsporidia; Enterocytozoonidae.
GAAACUUGGCCACUCCUUACGGGGGAGACAGUCAUGAGACGUGAGUAUAAGACCUGAGUGUAAAGACCUUAGGGUGAAGCAAUUGGAGGGCAAGCUUUGGUGCCAGCAGCCGCGGUAACUCCAACUCCAAGAGUGUCUAUGGUGGAUGCUGCAGUUAAAGGGUCCGUAGUCGUGAAUGCAAUUAAAUGUCGUUGUUCAAUAGCGAUGAGUUUGCUAAUGUUUGCGGAACGGAUAGGGAGUGUAGUAUAGACUGGCGAAGAAUGAAAUCUCAAGACCCAGUUUGGACUAACGGAGGCGAAGGCGACACUCUUAGACGUAUCUUAGGAUCAAGGACGAAGGCAGGAGUAUCGAAAGUGAUUAGACACCGCUGUAGUUCCUGCAGUAAACUAUGCCGACAGCCUGUGUGUGAGAAUACGUGGGCGGGAGAAAUCUUAGUGUUCGGGCUCUGGGGAUAGUACGCUCGCAAGGGUGAAACUUAAAGCGAAAUUGACGGAAGGACACUACCAGGAGUGGAUUGUGCUGCUUAAUUUAACUCAACGCGGGAAAACUUACCAGGGUCAAGUCAUUCGUUGAUCGAAUACGUGAGAAUGGCAGGAGGGGUGCAUGG